RNAcentral lists this ribosomal RNA (447 nucleotides) under uncultured bacterium. RNAcentral's name for it is "bacterial SSU rRNA". It matches the Rfam family "Bacterial small subunit ribosomal RNA", at positions 330 to 792 of the family's 1533-position model. The record is from RNAcentral.
GCCAGACUCCUACGGGAGGCAGCAGUGGGGGAUAUUGCACAAUGGGGGAAACCCUGAUGCAGCGACGCCGCGUGGGCGAAGAAGUAUUUCGGUAUGUAAAGCCCUAUCAGCAGGGAAGAAGAAAUGACGGUACCUGAGUAAGAAGCCCCGGCUAACUACGUGCCAGCAGCCGCGGUAAUACGUAGGGGGCAAGCGUUAUCCGGAUUUACUGGGUGUAAAGGGGGCGCAGACGGCGAUGCAAGCCAGGAGUGAAAGCCCGGGGCCCAACCCCGGGACUGCAUUUGGAACUGUGUGGCUGGAGUGUCGGAGAGGCAGGCGGAAUUCCUAGUGUAGCGGUGAAAUGCGUAGAUAUUAGGAGGAACACCAGUGGCGAAGGCGGCCUGCUGGACGAUGACUGACGUUGAGGCUCGAAAGCGUGGGGAGCAAACAGGAUUAGAUACCCCUGUA